UACGGGGGGGGCAAGCGUUGUUCGGAAUUACGGAGCGUAAAGGGCUCGUAGGUGGCCAACUAAGUCAGACGUGAAAUCCCUCGGCUUAACCGGGGAACUGCGUCUGAUACUGGAUGGCUUGAGUUUGGGAGAGGGAUGCGGAAUUCCAGGUGUAGCGGUGAAAUGCGUAGAUAUCUGGAGGAACACCGGUGGCGAAGGCGGCAUCCUGGACCAACACUGACACUGAGGAGCGAAAGCCAGGGGAGCAAACGGG
This 253-nucleotide ribosomal RNA is filed under the name uncultured bacterium. RNAcentral describes it as "partial 16S ribosomal RNA". It matches the Rfam family "Bacterial small subunit ribosomal RNA", at positions 524 to 776 of the family's 1533-position model. The record is from RNAcentral.